AAAAUACGAGUAGGUUGAACAGGUAACCUACUGGCGAAAACUGGCAGAAAUGCGGGUGACUAUGCCUCGUCUCCUACUAGAUCCAACCCGAACUCUGCAGACUGGGCAAUUUAAAACGAAGGGCCCAGGGGAAAACAUUUAAUAACGUUAGAGUGAGUGGACAAAAAUAAAUUAAUAAUUAAAAUAUUUAUGUUUCCCCAAAUUAAUUUCUAAGGAAAAAUCGAAUGCAUGCCGCAAGCGAUAAAACCUUUAUCCCAUAAAAUAUCGAGCCUCUCAGACUCUAUAAUAUAUGUAUGUAUUUACACUCGUCCAUACUCCCUAUAUAAAUUCAUGGGUCUAUAUAGGGCUACUACGCUCGCGUCCAACGCUCACGUCACGCCUUAAUGCGGUGCUACACUACGCCAUCAAGGUGGACAUACGGGUGUAUAAAUAUGUGCCCAUACCCCCUAUAUGAAUUAAACACUCAUAUAGGGCUACUACGCUUACGUCCAACGCUCACGUCACACCAUAAUGCGGCUAUAUGCUACGCCAUUAAGGUGGACAGACACAUAUGGCUAGCUAGCAUUUUUUAUACAUACUCUCUCAUAUAUACAUAUUUAUAUUCACCGAAAAUCUCAUUUUCGGUAACUCUCUCUCAGAGAAAUAAAAGCGUCAAAAUUAAUUGACGGCAAAAUACUCCACGACAUUAAUUAUUCAAUCGUGAACUUAGCAUGUAUUUAUUUAAAACAAAAGUCCACUCACGAAUUAGGCCUAAGCCUGAUGUCAAUCUGGGGUCUCGUCUGCUCGAGCCUCUUCACGUCCUGUUCCAAAUAUAAUAUUAAUUUCCCAACCAAUAAUCCAAUAUUUAAUCAAAAUAGGCAAAAUUACCCGAGAGCCAUAAUUACGCUCAUCAUUGCCUUACUUCGAUAUUCUUACAUCGGAACAAUCCGAACUUAAAUAUCAUACUCAACAGUCGUAAAUACAACCUCCCCAAAAUACGACUUAAAUCCUACGGCCGGAUUCUACAUUAAUUAACCGCCAAAAAUACCAAACUUCGGAAAUUCACAAACCUAUCCAAAUCUCAUCCAAAAAUUCCAUAAUUCACUUCAAUAAUAUCCCCUUAAUGUUCUACAUCAAAAACCAUAAAAAUCUCCUAACCGGCGGCGGCCGGAGGUCAAUUCCGGCGACCUCCAAAACCUAUGAAAUUUUAACAGCAUCUUCCUCUCAUCAAGCUCUACAACUUUCAUAACUAGCACAAAC
Molecule: long non-coding RNA, 1239 nt
Filed under: Fragaria vesca (wild strawberry)
Lineage: Eukaryota; Viridiplantae; Streptophyta; Magnoliopsida; Rosales; Rosaceae
Description: long non-coding RNA (FVES_LNC004186)
Source: RNAcentral